UUAAUCCUGGAGUGUUUGCCAGUCAAGAAGUCCCUGAGCCGAUACUAUCCUUUUGGUAACUCUUAGUCAGCGAUGUUGUGCUAUGCCGCUUGUCGGACCGCCUGAUUUGUUGCGGGAGUCGCCCCCUUGAACUUUUCGGUUCAAGGCCACGUUGACAGCGGCACUCUGGGCUACUU
RNAcentral lists this non-coding RNA (176 nucleotides) under Porticoccaceae bacterium. Its description in RNAcentral is "6S RNA". It matches the Rfam family "6S / SsrS RNA". Rfam says of the family: E. coli 6S RNA was the first non coding RNA to be sequenced, but its function was unknown until recently. It consists of 184 nucleotides that fold into an extended hairpin structure with a large single-stranded internal bulge. Lineage: Bacteria; Pseudomonadati; Pseudomonadota; Gammaproteobacteria; Cellvibrionales; Porticoccaceae. The record is from RNAcentral.